This 425-nucleotide ribosomal RNA is filed under the name uncultured bacterium. RNAcentral's name for it is "partial 16S ribosomal RNA". It matches the Rfam family "Bacterial small subunit ribosomal RNA", at positions 354 to 796 of the family's 1533-position model. The record is from RNAcentral.
GUGGGGAAUAUUGGACAAUGGGCGCAAGCCUGAUCCAGCAAUGCCGCGUGGGUGAAGAAGGUCUUCGGAUCGUAAAGCCCUUUCGACAGGGACGAUGAUGACGGUACCUGUAGAAGAAGCCCCGGCUAACUUCGUGCCAGCAGCCGCGGUAAUACGAAGGGGGCUAGCGUUACUCGGAAUUACUGGGCGUAAAGGGCGCGUAGGCGGCUCUGUUAGUCAGGCGUGAAAUUCCUGGGCUUAACCUGGGGACUGCGCUUGAUACUGCAGGGCUUGAAGCCGAGAGAGGGUGGUGGAAUUCCCAGUGUAGAGGUGAAAUUCGUAGAUAUUGGGAAGAACACCGGUGGCGAAGGCGACCACCUGGCUCGGUUCUGACGCUGAGGCGCGACAGCGUGGGGAGCAAACAGGAUUAGAAACCCCAGUAGUCC